RNAcentral lists this ribosomal RNA (1342 nucleotides) under uncultured bacterium. RNAcentral describes it as "bacterial SSU rRNA". It matches the Rfam family "Bacterial small subunit ribosomal RNA", at positions 28 to 1381 of the family's 1533-position model. The record is from RNAcentral.
GAUGAACGCUGGCGGCGUGCUUAACACAUGCAAGUCGAACGGUGAAGCCAAGCUUGCUUGGUGGAUCAGUGGCGAACGGGUGAGUAACACGUGAGCAACCUGCCCUGGACUCUGGGAUAAGCGCUGGAAACGGCGUCUAAUACUGGAUAUGAGCUCUCAUCGCAUGGUGGGGGUUGGAAAGAUUUUUCGGUCUGGGAUGGGCUCGCGGCCUAUCAGCUUGUUGGUGAGGUAAUGGCUCACCAAGGCGUCGACGGGUAGCCGGCCUGAGAGGGUGACCGGCCACACUGGGACUGAGACACGGCCCAGACUCCUACGGGAGGCAGCAGUGGGGAAUAUUGCACAAUGGGCGGAAGCCUGAUGCAGCAACGCCGCGUGAGGGAUGACGGCCUUCGGGUUGUAAACCUCUUUUAGCAGGGAAGAAGCGAGAGUGACGGUACCUGCAGAAAAAGCGCCGGCUAACUACGUGCCAGCAGCCGCGGUAAUACGUAGGGCGCAAGCGUUAUCCGGAAUUAUUGGGCGUAAAGAGCUCGUAGGCGGUUUGUCGCGUCUGCUGUGAAAUCCCGAGGCUCAACCUCGGGCCUGCAGUGGGUACGGGCAGACUAGAGUGCGGUAGGGGAGAUUGGAAUUCCUGGUGUAGCGGUGGAAUGCGCAGAUAUCAGGAGGAACACCGAUGGCGAAGGCAGAUCUCUGGGCCGUAACUGACGCUGAGGAGCGAAAGGGUGGGGAGCAAAUAGGCUUAGAUACCCUGGUAGUCCACCCCGUAAACGUUGGGAACUAGUUGUGGGGACCAUUCCACGGUUUCCGUGACGCAGCUAACGCAUUAAGUUCCCCGCCUGGGGAGUACGGCCGCAGGGCUAAAACUCAAAGGAAUUGACGGGGACCCGCACAAGCGGCGGAGCAUGCGGAUUAAUUCGAUGCAACGCGAAGAACCUUACCAAGGCUUGACAUACACCAGAACUCCGUAGAAAUACGGGACUCUUUGGACACUGGUGAACAGGUGGUGCAUGGUUGUCGUCAGCUCGUGUCGUGAGAUGUUGGGUUAAGUCCCGCAACGAGCGCAACCCUCGUUCUAUGUUGCCAGCACGUAAUGGUGGGAACUCAUGGGAUACUGCCGGGGUCAACUCGGAGGAAGGUGGGGAUGACGUCAAAUCAUCAUGCCCCUUAUGUCUUGGGCUUCACGCAUGCUACAAUGGCCGGUACAAAGGGCUGCAAUACCGUGAGGUGGAGCGAAUCCCAAAAAGCCGGUCCCAGUUCGGAUUGAGGUCUGCAACUCGACCUCAUGAAGUCGGAGUCGCUAGUAAUCGCAGAUCAGCAACGCUGCGGUGAAUACGUUCCCGGGUCU